Camelus dromedarius (Arabian camel) is the source of this 6561-nucleotide long non-coding RNA. RefSeq lists it as uncharacterized. The transcript has 4 exons. The record is from RefSeq and is a predicted model, not a curated record. Lineage: Eukaryota; Metazoa; Chordata; Mammalia; Artiodactyla; Camelidae.
CUGCGCAGUAAACUAUUUGUACAACUGCUGGGGCCACUCAGCGUGGUGUGGAGGCGGGGAGGGAGGAGGAGUAAAGGCUGUUUACAAACUUGACGUACACACGCAGCCCUAGCAGUAAGGUUCUGGAAUUGGGGUUACAAUCUUGGGAUCUGAGGGCGCUCUGAGGCUUUGGGUUCCAGCACCUGACUUAAUGGCCACCCAGACCAUAACCUUUAGAAGAACAGAAAGAUUCCAAGCGUCUUGGGGCAGCGGUGACUCACUGCAGCACCCCCUCCCGCCUCAACAAACUGCCGUCUCCGCCCACCCCCAAACAAUUUCAGCAACGCACCGCGGCUUUGGGCGCUUUGCUGGAGGCUAGAGGGGUUCACCUCCAUCCCUGUAUCCAGCAGGCUAAACCUCCUCCUAGCAGUCUUCAAGCCUGCCUUGCUUCCCACCCGACCCCUCGGUUGAGCUGGCGGAGAUGGAUACGACAUCCAGAUGCGAAACUCUGGACCCACUAACUGCUGCGCGCGGAGGUGGACAGCCAAAAGCCCCGGGAAGAGGCCAUUUCUAACUGGCAGCAAGUUACAACGGAGGAGAGAUUGCAAAGAUAGGAAAUCGCUUUGUGUUUCUAAUUCAGUGAACUUGGAGCAUCUGAUCUGACUGUUGAAUUCAGCAAGGAACAACUAACCCACCUAUCCAAAGUGAAGAUAACUGAAGGGGAAAAAAACAGGAUGAAGAUGAUAUAAAAACUGUAUUCAAAAGAGAGUGAUAUAAUGCAGAGGAAAUAAAUUAGACCUUUAUCUCACGCCAUAUAUAAAAAUCAAAUCAAAAUGGACUGAAAACUUAAAUAUAAGACUUGAAAUCAUUAAACUAUUAGAAGAAAACACAGGGAAAAAAACUCCUUGACACUAGUCUCAGCAAUGAUUAUUUUGGGGGCCCCAAACAGCAUAGGCAACAAAAGAAAUAACAGACAAAUGGGCUGCAUCAAACUAAAAAGCUUCUGAACGGCAAAGGAAACAAUUAACAGAAUGAGGAGACAACCUAUGGAAUGGGAGAACAUAUCUGAAAACCAUAUACAUUAUAAGGGGUUAAUAUCCAAAAUAUAUAAGGAAAUCGAACAACUCAAUAGCAAGAAAACACAUAACCCAAAUGGAGAAAUGGAGAAAAGACCUGAAAAGACAUUUCUCACAAGAAGGCAUACAAAUGGCCAGCAGAUACAUGAAAGGCAAUGAACAACACUAAUCAUCAGAGAAAUGCAAAUCAAAACCACAAUGAGGUAUCACAUCACACCUAUUAGAAUGGCUAUUAUCAAAAAGACAAAAGAUAACCAGUGUGGUGAGGAUGUGGAGAAAAGGGAAUCAUUGUACACUGUUGGUGGGAAUGUAAAUUAGUGCAGCCACUAUGGAAAACAGUAUGGAGAUACUUCAAAAAAAUUAUAAAUAGAACUACCAUAUGAUCUGGCAACCCUACUUCUGGGUAUAGACAUGAAAGAAAUGAAAUCAGUAUCUCUAAGAGACAUCUGCAUUCCCAUGUUCACUGCAGCAUUAUUCACAACAACCAAGAUACGGAAACAACUCAAGUGCCUUUUGAUGAAUGAAUGGAUAAAGAAGAUGUGGUAUAUAUAAUACUUUGGAAUAUUAUUCAGGCACAAGAAAGAAGGAAAUCCUACCAUUUGUGAUAACAUGGAUGGACCUGAAGGAUAAUACGCUAAGUGAAAUAAGCCAGACACAGAAAGACAAAUACUGUAUGAUGUCAUUUAUAUGUGGAAUCUGGAAAAAAAAAAUGUUCAAACUCAUAGAAGCAGAGAGUAGAACUGGUUACUUGGGGCUGGGAGGGGUAGGGGAAGUGGGGAGAUAUUGGUCAGAAGGUAUAAAUUUGCAAUUAUGUUGGAUGAAUAAGUCUAGACAUCUAAUGUAGAAGAAUGAUGACUAUACUUAGUAAUAAUACUGAAUCGAACAAUGGAAAUAAGCUGCGAGGACAGAUUCAUGUGCACUCAUCACACACACAAAAAUGGUAGCUGUAUGAGGAGACACGUUAACUAGCUGAACAGUAAUAAUCAUUUCACAAUGUAUAUGCAUACUACAUUAUACUGUACACUGUAAACAUGUACAAUUUUUAUUAAAAAUUUUUAAAGGGACUGAUAUGGGAUAUAAAGAACAUUUAAGUGAAAUUCAUAUAUUUAUGUGUAUCUAUGUAUCUAUAUAAAUAUACAUAUAAAUUUUCUUAAAGACCUAGAGACAUAUCUGCAGUCUGCUACCUACCAGCUUCUAGCUGAAUACAUGUAACUACUGUCACCCUGAGUAAGUUAUAUAAUCUCUCUGGAUUUCGGUUUCCAGAACUCUAAUAAUGCCAACCUCAUAGAGCUUGCAAUUAAUCACUGUGUGUACUAGGCCUGUUAUACACCACGUGCCUAUCAAUGAAUAGCUUUAGAAACUGUAUUAGGCACUUUAAUAUUAUGGAUGGCAAAUAGGUUUAAUUUCUAGUGUCAGCUCUGAGUAAUUCAGUAUGGCCACCUGGACUGCUAUGUCCAGAAUGACUGUGAGACUGUGACUAGGCUUGGCAGAAAAGAGUAGUGUGAUCAAUUAUUGAUGUCUGCUCCUGGCCCCAAAUAAGGGAGUGUAUUUUCAAUCCUGAGUCUAGUGAAAAGGUCACAACAUGUCAGGAGACCUGGUCUUUCUGUCUCCAAUUAGCUGGAUAACCUAGGAACAUCUUUUAUUCCCUCUGGGUCUCAUUUUCCCCAAUGUAAAAUGAAUAAGCAGAAUUUUAUGGGCCCUUAGGUCUCAGAGUCUGACUAUUCUGAUUUUAAUCUAGAAAAUAUUGUUUCUGGUUCACAGGUGUGGAAUGCUAAUACAUUAAAAAAAAAAGCAUCUUGCAUUAAGUACACUUACAUAUGAGAAAUUGUUCUAUGGCCCUGUUUAGAAGAACAUGCACCAUUACCUAAGUGAAAUGGUGUGGAGGUCUGUAAAUGAAGUGAUAUUCGAGGUGUCCUCUUACCUGCAGUGUGCUCCUAUUUCUUCCAAAAUCUCUCUGGGCCUCAGUUUCAUCACCUGGAAAAAUGGAAGAAAAAUUAUGACUGUACCCUCCUGAUUCUCUGAAAUGUGAAGCAAAGGAAGGAGGACAUGUUUCCUCAGUGCUUUGAACUUGUCAGAAGGCAGACCUUCUGUGACUCUAAAGUACGAGCAUUCACAGAAAAAUGUGGCCCAGAAAUUGCCCCCUUGAUAUGAUGCACAUUAAUAUCCAUUUGAUGUACUACAGCUUUAUUACAACAGAGUAAUGCUUCCAGAAGGAAAAAGAGAUUGGUUUUUAAAAAACCCAGACUUUUAUCAUUUUCCCUUUAAGUUGAGCUUCCCUUUUCCUUAGUGUAAAUCCUAGAGUCUCCAAGGUUAAAAACAUGAUCAAAGCUGAAAGAAGCUUGGUGUCGAAGUAGUCCUCUUGCCAAAAAUGGCCUCCAUAGGAGUAUACAGACAUCUGCUACUUAAUAUACUUAAAACCAACUUGCUGUGGAAAAGAUGCAAAAAUGAGUCCACAUGAAGUUGAAAUACCUCGGCUCCAUAACGCCUUAAGACAACUGAUUCUAUGCCAAAUUCUGUUCCUGUGGACAAAGCCAGAAUUUGAAAGAUGUCCCAUUAUCCCCCAGAGCCAACAUUCAUAAGAAUAACUAAAUCAACAAUGGGAAAAAAAAAAGCCCCAACUCUCACCUCAGACAUGCUUCUAGGACAGAGAAGAUGAGCCAAACUAGGUAAAGAGAAUGAAUGUGCUUCCUGAUCACGAUGAAUCAACAACUUUAGCAUGGAAAUUGAAGAAGAUAGAAUUUCUACCAUUUACUCCACCCAACUAUAUUUUGUUCUUUGACUCUUAAUGGCAGAUCCUGGGUAGUGAUGAUGAGAGCAACAGUAACGACUAUUGCAACGAGCUUUGAGAAGGGAACUCCUUCUGUCUGUUUCAACUGAGGUCUCAAUAUGACAGAUUCAAAAGAACAAGAGUCCACUUUGUCCAGGAGGAGGACGGAGUUCCCAUUCACUUAUCUGAUAUUUGAUAGUCAUCAAGCGUACGGGCUUUAGAAUUCGAGGAAGUGAGGGCUGCUGUGUUGUGCGUGUCCAGGAAGCACCACCGACAUCAUCAUCUAUGUGGACAGUGCUCUUGGGGCUGGGCAGUACAUAAUCCACACAACCAUAUUUGGUGGGACUGAUUCAACAACAUAUACUGGGUGAGUAUGUGCCAUGCACUGUGUUUGGCACUGAGAAUAGAGCAGUGAACGAGAUAGACUAGGGUAAGUUUAUUUAUGGAUGUAAAAACCAGGCAAAAAUGGGAGAUGAAGGAAGGGCCAUACUUUACAGAAUUUUGAAGGAUGUGUUGCGAAUUUUAGUCUUCAUUCUAGGAAAAGUUGUAAGAUAUUAAAUUUCCUGUUCAGGAGAAUAACUUGUAGCAAGGUCAUAUUUCUGCAUUACGGAGAAGACAGUUGACGUGGAGAAGUACAUAUGUGGUUGACAAUAUGGGGACUCUUUUGGUAGCACAAGUGAGAGAUGAUGGUGGCUUGUCUAGGGUAAUGCCAAAAAGGAUGGAAGAAGUAGAUCGAUGAAAGUUUUCAAAUGAAAUGUCUUAUCUCCAUUCUGCUAUUUUUUGGCCAGUACCACUGAAUUAUUUUGACCUUUGAGUGCUCUCAGACAAUAUUAAAAGUCAACUGUUGUGUGUGACUCUGUGAAAAGCAGAAUUAUUUGAUGUUAACAUCAAAGACCACUGCCAUCAAGUGUUGGGCUUGCCUGUUAAUACAUCAUAUAGCCAAUAAAACAGUCAUUGCCCUUUUAUUUAUCAGCCUGUUCGACAACAUAAAAUUUAAUCUCUCUUUUCUCUUCCAUAACAUGUAGCACCUACUUGUUUGGGAUUGUGGUGUAGAUGCAAAGAGAUAAUACCUAAAGCACUUAGCACAAUGUCUGCUCUAUUGUAAUUGUUGUUGGCUACUUUUUACUUCUGCUAUAUUCAUACUUAUGUUGGAGGUUUGGGAUGAGAAUUACUCACUCUUUUUUUCUCUAAAUUGGUCACCAAAAUUUGAGAAAAUAGGUGCAGGAGUAAAACAAGAGAGAUGAAAAUAUUAGCUUUAUUACCUAUAUUGUCGAAUUCAAGAAUGCAGUUGACUUUUUGGCUAAAUCUAGCGAUUGGUACCAAGGAAAUCUGCAAUCUGCCCAUUGACAUUGCUCAUGUGCCUCCAUCAGGGACACAGAGGGUUUGAGCAAGGCCUGGACCCUGCCCUGACUCAGGGAUGCUUACAUUGUGGAAGAAGUAAGCAGAACACUCUCAUUCCUCUGGUGAACCAGAGAGCAGAGAAACCAAGAGCACAGAUUCUGGAGUUAGAUUGCCUGAGUAAACCUGGCUGUACUAUUCAUCAGCCAGCCAGCAGUGUGAGUCUCUCAGAGUUUCUGUGACUCAGUUUCCUCAUCUAGAAGAGGGAAUGAUAAAGUACUACCUCAUAGGACUAUUGGGAGGAUUCAAUAAAUGAAAUGUUGGUGUCUGGAGCAUAGAAACCCUAAUCUCUAUUUGUCAUGCCCAGAAUCUAAAUAAAGAAUACAGAAAACAUCACACCCUGUGUUUCUCCAACCCCAUCUACCAGAGAGGUCACUGUUUUUCCCAAGGGGAAGAGCAAAGGAGGAGAAAAUAUUUCUGGAAGAGAAGGGAAUGCAUAUUUCCUAUGCACUGGCUUCCUGGAGCGUGAGUAUAAAGCCCUUCCUCUAUGCUGAGCAUCAGGACACUAAAGGUUGACCUCCCAGAUAUCCUAUCACUUGAUAUAGUUGGCCUGGAAUCUGUCCUGUCCCUGCAACUUCCUCUCUCCACCUGAAAAGAAGUGGGAUUUGUCACACUCAUCAGUCUAUCCUUCCCAUAACAUAGGGUGAUGUACUGUGCUUUGUAUGUACUGUGCUAAUGACAACUUGUGCUUGAUGGAUUUGAACGUAAGCAUCUUUCUCUGAGCUAUCUUGUUCCUAAGCAACAAAAUCGUGAAGGGUGGCUGCCUGGUGGCAAAACCCAGGGCCUGAGCAGAAAGUGUGAGGUUCCCACUAGUCUGCUCUCUUUCUUCAGAACCGUCUAGCCUUCUGGCUCCUGAUUUUCAGGACCACACAGAAACUGUCGGAUGCCUAAAGCUAACAAAAAUGUUCUUAUCACAAGGCAAAUGCUUUUCACAUCCACCUUCCUUACCCCCAUUUUUUCUCCUAAUCUAGAAUGGUUGGACUUCUCCAUCCAAAGCAGAAACAAAGAACUGAGAAAAAGUUUGUUAUCAGAUGAACACCUUGCCUAUUUGUUCCCUUCAUUUGUACAUACGCUCAGUUAAGUUUAGCUAAAUGUCCAACACAGAGGAAGGACGAAGUCAAAUAUGGGAUAGUUUCCUUUAUUGCACUAGUUACUCUCUGAAAUUAUUUGUUUGCUCUUGAUUAUUUGCCUCCCCCAAUUACAGUGUCUGUUCAGUGGGACCCUGUCUACUUUGUCUCUUGGACCUCAUAGUCUUACAGCGGAGUUUGUUAAACUGUGGCCAGCUGGCCAAAUCUGACCUACCACCUCUUUUGUAAAUAAAGUUUUAUUGGAACACCUUCA